This 737-nucleotide long non-coding RNA is filed under the name Ricinus communis (castor bean). Its description in RNAcentral is "long non-coding RNA (RCOM_LNC000873)". The record is from RNAcentral. Lineage: Eukaryota; Viridiplantae; Streptophyta; Magnoliopsida; Malpighiales; Euphorbiaceae.
GCACCUCCGGCCUCUGUGUAGAAAAGAUGCCGCAAGUGCCAUCAUCCUAUGACAAGACACACCUGUAACUUCUCUCUUCUCAAGAAAUAUUUUACUGGAGUUCCAACUUUAUGCUUUUUGUUUCCUUUGGCUGUAUGCAAUGUAAGUAGCUAGUCUCUCUUUGGUUGCUGAUCAGAAGAACAUCAAUUUCUUCUUCUUCUUCUACUUGCUCCCGGCCUUUGUAUGAUCUUCUUCUUGUAAAAUGUGUACACAUAUACCAUCUUCUUGGAAAAUUGUUUUCUCUCUAUCCGUGCUUUCUGCUAUUGUUAUUUUAAUGAUCUGCUUUGUUAUUGGAAAAUACAAUAUGACAUUUGUUUUUCAUUUCUUUGUUACAGCUCUUAUUUAUUAUUGCAAUGUACAGUGAAGGUAAGAAUUAGCCUUAAUCAAACUAUACUCUUUCAAAUUAAAUCUUAUAGUCUCUAAUUUCUAUUAGUUCCUUUGUAGCUGCUUGCCUGCAUCAUUAUCUCCUCCCAGUUGCAAAUGCUUUAUUUUAUGUUAAACAUAGUUUACUUGUAUUUCUGAUUGUUUCUUUGAAGGUAUGUAUAGUUGCUUCAAUAGGUAAAACUUAUUUAUUUUAUUACUGGUUUUGCACCAAUAGUUUAUCUACUGAUAUAUAUUAUAUAUAGAUUGAUUUCUUGACUUUGUCAAGCUAGAUUAUCCGUCUUCAGAUAUAUAUUUUUGAAUUUGAUCAAUCCAGC